ACAUGUCCGCAUGAUUAAAGGUAUUUUCCGGUAGACGAUGGGGAUGCGUUCCAUUAGAUAGUAGGCGGGGUAACGGCCCACCUAGUCAACGAUGGAUAGGGGUUCUGAGAGGAGGGUCCCCCACAUUGGAACUGAGACACGGUCCAAACUCCUACGGGAGGCAGCAGUGAGGAAUAUUGGUCAAUGGGCGAUGGCCUGAACCAGCCAAGUAGCGUGAAGGAUGACUGCCCUAUGGGUUGUAAACUUCUUUUAUAAAGGAAUAAAGUCGGGUAUGCAUACCCGUUUGCAUGUACUUUAUGAAUAAGGAUCGGCUAACUCCGUGCCAGCAGCCGCGGUAAUACGGAGGAUCCGAGCGUUAUCCGGAUUUAUUGGGUUUAAAGGGAGCGUAGAUGGAUGUUUAAGUCAGUUGUGAAAGUUUGCGGCUCAACCGUAAAAUUGCAGUUGAUACUGGAUGUCUUGAGUGCAGUUGAGGCAGGCGGAAUUCGUGGUGUAGCGGUGAAAUGCUUAGAUAUCACGAAGAACUCCGAUUGCGAAGGCAGCCUGCUAAGCUGCAACUGACAUUGAGGCUCGAAAGUGUGGGUAUCAAACAGGAUUAGAUACCCUGGUAGUCCACACGGUAAACGAUGAAUACUCGCUGUUUGCGAUAUACGGCAAGCGGCC
This 660-nucleotide ribosomal RNA is filed under the name uncultured bacterium. RNAcentral describes it as "bacterial SSU rRNA". It matches the Rfam family "Bacterial small subunit ribosomal RNA", at positions 187 to 848 of the family's 1533-position model. The record is from RNAcentral.